GGGGAAAUGGUUUAGUGGUAUAAUACCUCUUUAGCAUAGAGGUGGUCCGGGGUUCGAUUCCCCGUUUCUCCA
RNAcentral lists this transfer RNA (72 nucleotides) under Terfezia claveryi. RNAcentral describes it as "tRNA-Ala". It matches the Rfam family "tRNA". From Rfam's summary of the family: Transfer RNA (tRNA) molecules are approximately 80 nucleotides in length. Their secondary structure includes four short double-helical elements and three loops (D, anti-codon, and T loops). Lineage: Eukaryota; Fungi; Ascomycota; Pezizomycetes; Pezizales; Pezizaceae. RNAcentral also lists the same sequence under 2 other names. The record is from RNAcentral.